GGGCUGGGCUCAGUGGUAGAGCACUUGCCUAUCACAUAUGAGGUACUGAGUUCAAUACUCUGCACCACA
Molecule: transfer RNA, 69 nt
Filed under: Marmota monax (woodchuck)
Lineage: Eukaryota; Metazoa; Chordata; Mammalia; Rodentia; Sciuridae
Description: tRNA.Asp
Source: RNAcentral